GAUGAACGCUGGCGGUGUGCCUAAUACAUGCAAGUCGAGCGGCAGCACGGUCUUCGGACUGGUGGCGAGCGGCGGACGGCAGAGUAACGCGUAGGAACGUGCCCCAAAGUGAGGGAUAGCCCACCGAAAGGUGGAUUAAUACCGCAUAUGAUCUUCGGACUAAAGUAUUUAUACGCUUUGGGAGCGGCCUGCGUACGAUUAGAUUGUUGGUGAGGUAAAGGCUCACCAAGUCGACGAUCGUUAGCUGGUCUGAGAGGAUGAUCAGCCAGACUGGGACUGAGACACGGCCCAGACUCCUACGGGAGGCAGCAGUAAGGAAUCUUCCACAAUGGGCGAAAGCCUGAUGGAGCAACACCGCGUGAAGGAUGAAGGCCCUCGGGUCGUAAACUUCUUUUAUGAGCGAAGAAUAUGACGGUAACUCAUGAAUAAGGGUCGGCUAACUACGUGCCAGCAGCCGCCGUAA
RNAcentral lists this ribosomal RNA (463 nucleotides) under uncultured bacterium. RNAcentral's name for it is "partial 16S ribosomal RNA". It matches the Rfam family "Bacterial small subunit ribosomal RNA", at positions 28 to 523 of the family's 1533-position model. The record is from RNAcentral.